GAUGAACGCUGACAGAAUGCUUAACACAUGCAAGUCAACUUGAACUUCGGUUUGGGUGGCGGACGGGUGAGUAACGCGUAAAGAACUUGCCUCACAGAUAGGGACAACAUUUGGAAACGAAUGCUAAUACCUGAUAUUAUGAUUAUAUGGCAUCGUAUAAUUAUGAAAGCUAUAUGCGCUGUGAGAGAGCUUUGCGUCCCAUUAGCUAGUUGGAGAGGUAACGGCUCACCAAGGCGAUGAUGGGUAGCCGGCCUGAGAGGGUGAUCGGCCACAAGGGGACUGAGACACGGCCCUUACUCCUACGGGAGGCAGCAGUGGGGAAUAUUGGACAAUGGACCAAGAGUCUGAUCCAGCAAUUCUGUGUGCACGAUGAAGUUUUUCGGAAUGAAAAGUGCUUUCAGUUGGGAAGAAAAAAAUGACGGUACCAACAGAAGAAGUGACGGCUAAAUACGUG
RNAcentral lists this ribosomal RNA (454 nucleotides) under uncultured bacterium. RNAcentral's name for it is "partial 16S ribosomal RNA". It matches the Rfam family "Bacterial small subunit ribosomal RNA", at positions 28 to 507 of the family's 1533-position model. The record is from RNAcentral.